This 497-nucleotide ribosomal RNA is filed under the name uncultured bacterium. RNAcentral describes it as "partial 16S ribosomal RNA". It matches the Rfam family "Bacterial small subunit ribosomal RNA", at positions 28 to 507 of the family's 1533-position model. The record is from RNAcentral.
GAUGAACGCUGGCGGCGUGCCUAAUACAUGCAAGUCGAGCGAACAGAUGAGGAGCUUGCUCCUCUGACGUUAGCGGCGGACGGGUGAGUAACACGUGGAUAACCUACCUAUAAGACUGGGAUAACUUCGGGAAACCGGAGCUAAUACCGGAUAAUAUAUUGAACCGCAUGGUUCAAUAGUGAAAGACGGUUUUGCUGUCACUUAUAGAUGGAUCCGCGCCGCAUUAGCUAGUUGGUAAGGUAACGGCUUACCAAGGCAACGAUGCGUAGCCGACCUGAGAGGGUGAUCGGCCACACUGGAACUGAGACACGGUCCAGACUCCUACAGGAGGCAGCAGUAGGGAAUCUUCCGCAAAGGGCGAAAGCCUGACGGAGCAACGCCGCGUGAGUGAUGAAGGUCUUCGGAUCGUAAAACUCUGUUAUUAGGGAAGAACAAAUGUGUAAGUAACUAUGCACGUCUUGACGGUACCUAAUCAGAAAGCCACGGCUAACUACGUG